Molecule: transfer RNA, 79 nt
Filed under: Scleroderma citrinum Foug A
Lineage: Eukaryota; Fungi; Basidiomycota; Agaricomycetes; Boletales; Sclerodermataceae
Rfam family: tRNA
About the family: Transfer RNA (tRNA) molecules are approximately 80 nucleotides in length.
Source: Rfam by way of RNAcentral
GAGCCCGUGGCGCAGUGGUAGCGCGUGUGAUUCCAGUUCGGUGUCCACAAGGUCAUCCGUUCAAAUCGGGUCGGGCUCA